GACGAACGCUGGCGGCGUGCCUAAUACAUGCAAGUCGAGCGCAGGAAGCCGUCCGAACCCUUCGGGGGGACGACGGUGGAAUGAGCGGCGGACGGGUGAGUAACACGUAAAGAACCUGCCCAUAGGUCUGGGAUAACCACGAGAAAUCGGGGCUAAUACCGGAUGUGUCAUCGGACCGCAUGGUCCGAUGAUGAAAGGCGCUUCGGCGUCGCCCAUGGAUGGCUUUGCGGUGCAUUAGCUAGUUGGUGGGGUAACGGCCCACCAAGGCGACGAUGCAUAGCCGACCUGAGAGGGUGAUCGGCCACACUGGGACUGAGACACGGCCCAGACUCCGACGGGAGGCAGCAGUAGGGAAUCUUCCACAAUGGACGAAAGUCUGAUGGAGCAACGCCGCGUGAACGAUGAAGGCUUUCGGGUCGUAAAGUUCUGUUGUAAGGGAAGAACAAGUGCCGCAGGCAAUGGCGGCACCUUGACGGUACCUUGCGAGAAAGCCACGGCUAACUACGUGCCAGCCGCCGCGGUAA
This 524-nucleotide ribosomal RNA is filed under the name uncultured bacterium. Its description in RNAcentral is "partial 16S ribosomal RNA". It matches the Rfam family "Bacterial small subunit ribosomal RNA", at positions 28 to 523 of the family's 1533-position model. The record is from RNAcentral.